GGGAGGACUUUGCCGGGAGGUUAGCACUCUCCUGUUACUGUGAACGUGCUUCACGCAGGGUGAAUCCGGAGAAGCGGCGCUUUUCCUGGCUGCCAGUCUUGUGCCGGACGCUGACGUUCUGUCCUGAUGGAUUGGCGCCUUAGGGAACCAGUUCAGGGCAGGAAUGCAGCAGACUUAACCUUUGAUGCCGGUGCUUUCAGGGUCGCGGAACCGAGAAAGGCAUGAGAUCAACUGUCUGUCAGGCAGGCUCUCAUUUUCCGGGCGUCCUCCC
This 271-nucleotide signal recognition particle RNA is filed under the name Candidatus Woesearchaeota archaeon. RNAcentral's name for it is "signal recognition particle sRNA". It matches the Rfam family "Archaeal signal recognition particle RNA". The record is from RNAcentral. Lineage: Archaea; Nanobdellati; Candidatus Woesearchaeota.